RNAcentral lists this transfer RNA (77 nucleotides) under Thermochaetoides thermophila DSM 1495. RNAcentral describes it as "Chaetomium thermophilum var. thermophilum DSM 1495 tRNA-Lys". It matches the Rfam family "tRNA". From Rfam's summary of the family: Transfer RNA (tRNA) molecules are approximately 80 nucleotides in length. Their secondary structure includes four short double-helical elements and three loops (D, anti-codon, and T loops). Further hydrogen bonds mediate the characteristic L-shaped molecular structure. tRNAs have two regions of fundamental functional importance: the anti-codon, which is responsible for specific mRNA codon recognition, and the 3' end, to which the tRNAs corresponding amino acid is attached (by aminoacyl-tRNA synthetases). tRNAs cope with the degeneracy of the genetic code in two manners: having more than one tRNA (with a specific anti-codon) for a particular amino acid; and 'wobble' base-pairing, i.e. permitting non-standard base-pairing at the 3rd anti-codon position. Lineage: Eukaryota; Fungi; Ascomycota; Sordariomycetes; Sordariales; Chaetomiaceae. The record is from RNAcentral.
GCCCGGUUAGCUCAAUCGGUAGAGCGUGAGACUCUUAAGAAAUCUCAAGGUUGCGGGUUCGACCCCCGCAUCGGGCU